GCCGGGCGUGGGUGUGGUGGUGUGUGCCUGUAGUCCCAGCUACUGGGGAGGCUGAGAUGGGAGGAUCGUUUGAGUGCAGGAGUUCUGGGCUGUGAUACUCUAUGCCGAUCGGGUGUCCGCACUAAGUUCGGCAUCAAUAUGGUGACCUCCCGGAAGUGAGGGACCACCAGGUUGCUGAAGGAGGGGUGAACCAGCCCAGGUCAGAAAUGGAGCAGGUCAAAACUCCCAUGCUGAUCAGCAGUGGGAUGGCUCCUGUGAAUAGCCACUGCACUCCAGCCUGGGCAACACAGUGAGAACUUAUCUCU
This 305-nucleotide signal recognition particle RNA is filed under the name Saimiri boliviensis boliviensis (Bolivian squirrel monkey). Its description in RNAcentral is "Metazoan signal recognition particle RNA (ENSSBOG00000007485.1)". It matches the Rfam family "Metazoan signal recognition particle RNA". Rfam says of the family: The signal recognition particle (SRP) is a universally conserved ribonucleoprotein. It is involved in the co-translational targeting of proteins to membranes. The eukaryotic SRP consists of a 300-nucleotide 7S RNA and six proteins: SRPs 72, 68, 54, 19, 14, and 9. The record is from RNAcentral. Lineage: Eukaryota; Metazoa; Chordata; Mammalia; Primates; Cebidae.